This 448-nucleotide ribosomal RNA is filed under the name uncultured bacterium. RNAcentral describes it as "partial 16S ribosomal RNA". It matches the Rfam family "Bacterial small subunit ribosomal RNA", at positions 28 to 523 of the family's 1533-position model. The record is from RNAcentral.
GAUGAACGCUGGCGGCGUGCCUAAUUCAUGCAAGUCGACCGAAGUCUUCGGACUUAGUGGCGGACGGGUGAGUAACACGUGGGAACGUGCCUUUAGGUUCGGAAUAACGCAGGGAAACCUGUGCUAAUACCGAAUGUGCCCUUCGGGGGAAAGAUUUGUUGCUUUUAGAGCGGCCCGGGUCGGAUUAGCUUGUUGGUGGGGUAAAGGCUCACCAAGGCGACGAUCAGUAGCGGGGCUGGAAGGAUGAUCAGCCACAUGGGGACUGGGACACGGCCCAACUCCUACGGGAGGCAGCAGUGGGGAAUCUUGCGCAAUGGGCGAAAGCCUGACGCAGCCAUGCCGCGUGAAUGAUGAAGGUCUUAGGAUUGUAAAAUUCUUUCACCGGGGACGAUAAUGACGGUACCCGGAGAAGAAGCCCCGGCUAACUUCGUGCCAGCCGCCGCCGUAA